UUGGAGGGCAAGUCUGGUGCCAGCAGCCGCGGUAAUUCCAGCUCCAAUAGCGUAUAUUAAAGUUGCUGCAGUUAAAAAGCUCGUAGUUGAAUUUCGGGACCAAUAUGUCGGUCGUGCCUCGGUACGUACUGGCAUCGUUGGUUUCUCCCUUCUGAAGAACCAUGAUGUCAUUUAUUUGGUGUCGUGGGGAAUCAGGACUGUUACUUUGAAAAAAUUAGAGUGUUUAAAGCAGGCUCACGCUUGAAUACAUUAGCAUGGAAUAAUGAAAUAGGACGUUUGAUUCUAUUUUGUUGGUUUCUAGGAUCGACGUAAUGAUUAAUAGGGAUAGUUGGGGGCAUUAGUAUUCAAUUGUCAGAGGUGAAAUUCUUGGAUUUAUUGAAGACUAACUACUGCGAAAGCAUUUGCCAAGGAUGUUUUCAUUAAUCAAGAACGAAAGUUAGGGGAUCGAAGACGAUCAGAUACCGUCGUAGUCUUAACCAUAAACUAUGCCGACUAGGGAUCGGAUGAUGUUAAUUUUUUAAUGACUCAUUCGGCACCUUACGGGAAAC
RNAcentral lists this ribosomal RNA (548 nucleotides) under uncultured Glomus. Its description in RNAcentral is "SSU rRNA". It matches the Rfam family "Eukaryotic small subunit ribosomal RNA", at positions 548 to 1098 of the family's 1831-position model. Lineage: Eukaryota; Fungi; Glomeromycota; Glomeromycetes; Glomerales; Glomeraceae. The record is from RNAcentral.